Molecule: unclassified non-coding RNA, 378 nt
Filed under: plant metagenome
Description: partial contains 5.8S ribosomal RNA, internal transcribed spacer 2, and large subunit ribosomal RNA
Rfam family: 5.8S ribosomal RNA (bases 1-105)
Source: RNAcentral
GAAAUGCGAUAAGUAAUGUGAAUUGCAGAAUUCAGUGAAUCAUCGAAUCUUUGAACGCACCUUGCGCUCCUUGGUAUUCCUUGGAGCAUGCCUGUUUGAGUAUCAUGAAAUCUUCAAAGUAAAUCUUUUGUUAACUCAAUUGGUUUCUACUUUGGUAUUGGAGGUCUUUGCAGCUUCACACCUGCUCCUCUUUGUUCAUUAGCUGGAUCUCAGUGUUAUGCUUGGUUCCACUCGGCGUGAUAAGUUAUCUAUCGCUGAGGACACUGUAAAAGGUGGCCAAGGUAAAUGCAGAUGAACCGAGUCGAAUAGUCCAUUGACUUGGACAAUACUUUUAUGAUCUGAUCUCAAAUCAGGUAGGACUACCCGCUGAACUUAAGC